This 890-nucleotide ribosomal RNA is filed under the name Salinivibrio costicola. RNAcentral describes it as "bacterial SSU rRNA". It matches the Rfam family "Bacterial small subunit ribosomal RNA", at positions 584 to 1474 of the family's 1533-position model. Lineage: Bacteria; Pseudomonadati; Pseudomonadota; Gammaproteobacteria; Vibrionales; Vibrionaceae. The record is from RNAcentral.
UAAGUCAGAUGUGAAAGCCCGGGGCUCAACCUCGGAACCGCAUUUGAAACUGGCAGGCUAGAGUCUGUAGAGGGGGGUAGAAUUUCAGGUGUAGCGGUGAAAUGCGUAGAGAUCUGAAGGAAUACCAGUGGCGAAGGCGGCCCCCUGGACAAAGACUGACGCUCAGAUGCGAAAGCGUGGGUAGCAAACAGGAUUAGAUACCCUGGUAGUCCACGCCGUAAACGCUGUCUACUUGGAGGUUGAGGUUUAAGACUUUGGCUUUCGGCGCUAACGCAUUAAGUAGACCGCCUGGGGAGUACGGCCGCAAGGUUAAAACUCAAAUGAAUUGACGGGGGCCCGCACAAGCGGUGGAGCAUGUGGUUUAAUUCGAUGCAACGCGAAGAACCUUACCUACUCUUGACAUCCAGAGAAUCUUCCAGAGAUGGAGGGGUGCCUUCGGGAGCUCUGAGACAGGUGCUGCAUGGCUGUCGUCAGCUCGUGUUGUGAAAUGUUGGGUUAAGUCCCGCAACGAGCGCAACCCUUAUCCUUGUUUGCCAGCACGUAAUGGUGGGAACUCCAGGGAGACUGCCGGUGAUAAACCGGAGGAAGGUGGGGACGACGUCAAGUCAUCAUGGCCCUUACGAGUAGGGCUACACACGUGCUACAAUGGCAGAUACAGAGGGCAGCGAAGCUGCGAAGUGGAGCGAAUCCCUUAAAGUCUGUCGUAGUCCGGAUUGGAGUCUGCAACUCGACUCCAUGAAGUCGGAAUCGCUAGUAAUCGUGGAUCAGAAUGCCACGGUGAAUACGUUCCCGGGCCUUGUACACACCGCCCGUCACACCAUGGGAGUGGGCUGCACCAGAAGUAGAUAGCUUAACCUUCGGGAGGGCGUUUACCACGGUGUGGUUCAUGA